Molecule: unclassified non-coding RNA, 893 nt
Filed under: Hevea brasiliensis (rubber tree)
Lineage: Eukaryota; Viridiplantae; Streptophyta; Magnoliopsida; Malpighiales; Euphorbiaceae
Source: RNAcentral
GUUUGUCUAGGGUUUUUGACAAUAGUAUAUAAACACUGUUGCAUAGAGAUUCACCAAACUCUCUCGUAUUCAUUACAAUGGCUUUUUCUUCUCUUCUCAAACCUGCCGCCUCCUUUGUUCGACCUUCACAUCGAUCUCAGGUAUCAUGUGCAGGACUUCAUCAUAGUAGUAAUUCUGUUAAAUUACAAUCGUCUAUCUUCGGAGAUGCUGUGACAAUUUUGCAAUCUUCGUCUUUACAAAAAUCUGGUGCCUGCAGUAUUCAACCUAUCAGAGCAACUGCUACUGAGCUGCCUCCAACAGUUCCAAGGUCACAAACUGGUGGGAAGACAAGGGUUGGCAUCAAUGGUUUUGGACGUAUUGGGAGAUUGGUAUUACGAAUUGCAACAUUCAGGGAUGAUAUUGAAGUGGUCGCAGUUAAUGACCCAUUUAUCGAUGCAAAGUAUAUGGCUUACAUGCUCAAGUAUGAUUCCACUCAUGGAGUCUACAGUGGAUCCAUCAGUGUCCUGGAUGACUCUACUUUGGAAAUCAAUGGGAAGCAGAUUAAAGUCAGUAGCAAAAGGGAUCCCGCAGAUAUUCCAUGGGGUGAUUUAGGUGCAGAUUAUGUUGUUGAAUCUUCUGGUGUCUUCACAACUAUUGAUAAGGCAUCAGCACAUAAGAAGGGUGGUGCAAAAAAGGUCGUAAUCUCAGCACCAUCAGCUGAUGCACCUAUGUUUGUGGUAGGAGUGAAUGAGAAAACUUACAAAGCCAACAUGGAUGUUGUUUCUAACGCUAGCUGUACUACCAAUUGCCUUGCUCCCCUUGCCAAGGUGGUUCAUGAAGAGUUUGGCAUUGUUGAGGGAUUAAUGACUACUGUGCAUGCAACAACAGCUACCCAAAAGACUGUUGAUGGGCCA